This 601-nucleotide ribosomal RNA is filed under the name Cronobacter sakazakii. Its description in RNAcentral is "partial 23S ribosomal RNA". It matches the Rfam family "Bacterial large subunit ribosomal RNA", at positions 436 to 1047 of the family's 2925-position model. The record is from RNAcentral. Lineage: Bacteria; Pseudomonadati; Pseudomonadota; Gammaproteobacteria; Enterobacterales; Enterobacteriaceae.
GGGGGGACGGGGGGACCAUCCUAAAUACUCCUGACUGACCGAUAGUGAACCAGUACCGUGAGGGAAAGGCGAAAAGAACCCCGGCGAGGGGAGUGAAACAGAACCUGAAACCGUGUACGUACAAGCAGUGGGAGCCUUCGUAAGAGGGUGACUGCGUACCUUUUGUAUAAUGGGUCAGCGACUUAUAUUCUGUAGCAAGGUUAACCGUAUAGGGGAGCCGAAGGGAAACCGAGUCUUAACCGGGCGUUAAGUUGCAGGGUAUAGACCCGAAACCCGGUGAUCUAGCCAUGGGCAGGUUGAAGGUUGGGUAACACUAACUGGAGGACCGAACCGACUAAUGUUGAAAAAUUAGCGGAUGACCUGUGGCUGGGGGUGAAAGGCCAAUCAAACCGGGAGAUAGCUGGUUCUCCCCGAAAGCUAUUUAGGUAGCGCCUCGUGAACUCAUCUCCGGGGGUAGAGCACUGUUUCGGCUAGGGGGCCAUCCCGGCUUACCAACCCGAUGCAAACUGCGAAUACCGGAGAAUGUUAUCACGGGAGACACACGGCGGGUGCUAACGUCCGUCGUGAAGAGGGAAACAACCCAGACCGCCAGCUAAGGUCC